This is a long non-coding RNA of Nerophis ophidion (straightnose pipefish), 1240 nucleotides long. RefSeq lists it as uncharacterized. The record is from RefSeq and is a predicted model, not a curated record. NCBI's taxonomy places the organism in Eukaryota, Metazoa, Chordata, Actinopteri, Syngnathiformes, Syngnathidae. The transcript is spliced from 2 exons.
GUUCCUAAGUUCCAACAUGAUGAGGGCCCUAAGUGCCUAAGUUCCAACAUGAUGAGGGCCCUAAGUGCCUAAGUUCCAACAUGAUGAGGGCCCUAAGUGCCUAAGUUCCAACAUGAUGAGGGGCUGCAGAGCUUCUGUGUUUGCCGGUCCUCCCAACGAUCAAGGGGAAUGUGAAGCCCCAAAGAAUGUGGGAGAACAUUCCAGGUGAAGAAGAUAAGAAGUUGGUUGUUGUGGCUAUGGGCAACAGUUUACAAGAGGGUCCCACAUCUAACCUUCUUCAGAAGGUUAGAAGCUGGAGAAAUCACUGCAACUAAGUGAUAUUACCGACUUUGGAUCCCUCAGGCGGUACUGCAUCAAAAAGCCACAUCGACGUGUAAUGGAUAUCACCACAUGGGCUCAGGAACACUUCAGAAAACCACUGACAGUAACUACAGUUGGCCGCUAUAUCUGCAAGUGCAAGGUAAAACUCUUUAUGUGCAAAGCCACAGCCAUGUAUCAACAACACCCAGAAACGCCGCCAGCUUUGCUGGGCCCAAGCUCAUCUAAGAUGGACUGAUGCAAAGUGAAAAAGUGUUCUGUGGUCUGACAAGUCCACAUUUCAAAUUGUUUUGGGAGAUAUUCGAUCUCAUGUCAUCCGGACUAAAGGGGAAGCGAACCAUCUAGACUGUUAUGGAUGCAAAGUUGAAAAGCCAGCAUCUGUGAUGGUAUGGGGGUGCAUUAGGGCCCAAGGCAUGGGUAACUUACAUAUCUGUGAAGGCACCAUUAAUGCUGAAAGGUACAUACAGGUUUUGGAACAACAUAUGCAGUCUUUUUCAUGGACGCCCCUGCUUAUUUCAGCAAGACAAUGCCAAGCCAAAUUCAGCACGUAUUCCAACAGCGUGGCUUCGUAAAAAAAAAAAGACUGCGGGUACUUUCCUGGCCCGCCUGCAGUCAAGACCUGUCUCCCAUGGAAAAUGUGCGGCGCAUUAUGAAGUGUAAAAUACGACAGCGGAGACCCCGGAUUGUUGAACGACUGAAGCUCUACAUAAAACAAGAAUGGGAAAGAAUUCCACUUUCAAAGCUUCAACAAUUAGUUUCCUCAGUUCCCAAACGUUUAUUGAGUGUUGUUAAAAGAAAAGGUGAUGUAACACAGUGGUGAAUAUCCCCUUUCCCAACUACUUUGGCACGUGUUGCAGCCAUGAAAUUAUAAGUUCAUUAUUAUUUGCCAGAUAAAAUAAAGUUUAUGAGUUUGAACAUCAAA